RNAcentral lists this ribosomal RNA (385 nucleotides) under uncultured bacterium. Its description in RNAcentral is "bacterial SSU rRNA". It matches the Rfam family "Bacterial small subunit ribosomal RNA", at positions 29 to 408 of the family's 1533-position model. The record is from RNAcentral.
AUUGAACGCUGGCGGCAUGCCUAACACAUGCAAGUCGAACGGCAGCACAGUGUGUAGCAAUACACAUGGGUGGCGAGUGGCGGACGGGUGAGGAAUACAUAGGAAUCUGCCUAGUAGUGGGGGAUAACCCGGGGAAACUCGGGCUAAUACCGCAUACGCCCUACAGGGGAAAGCGGGGGACUUUCGGGCCUCGCGCUAUUAGAUGAGCCUAAGUCCGAUUAGCUAGUGGUGAGGUAAAGGCUCACCAAGGCAACGAUCGGUAGCUGGUCUGAGAGGACGACCAGCCACACUGGGACUGAGACACGGCCCAGACUCCUACGGGAGGCAGCAGUAAGGAAUAUUGCGCAAUGGGCGAAAGCCUGACGCAGCGACGCCGCGUGGGGGA